GGUGUCGGCUGAAUCAGAGAUUGGCUGACACAAGUUAAAAACAAUUUUGUAUUAGGAAUGAGUUAUGUCUCUGAAUGCAGAAACUAAAGCAGCAAUCGUUGCUGAAUACGCGCAGUGCGAA
Molecule: regulatory RNA element, 121 nt
Organism: Photobacterium aphoticum
Lineage: Bacteria; Pseudomonadati; Pseudomonadota; Gammaproteobacteria; Vibrionales; Vibrionaceae
Rfam family: Ribosomal S15 leader
About the family: The E. coli Ribosomal S15 gene 5' UTR can form two alternative structures. One that is a series of three hairpins, The other includes a pseudoknot.
Source: Rfam